UUGAGGGUCAGUAAUACAUAUCAGUAAGUACCUCCUGGUCUCAAAGGAGAGAGAAAACCAGCAGGUCAGCACAUCCUUACUGUAUUCCUGACCAAGUUUGUCUUCCAGCUGGUGAAAUCUCAAGGCAUAGACACAGAUUAGAAGUUGACAUACAUCCACAGGAUAACAUUUAGAAGAGGACUAUCAUUCAAUCCACAAGCUUUACUGAACACUGACAGUGAGCCCUGUAGUAUGCUAAGUGAUGGAGGAGAACUGAAGGGCAAAUAAGCCCUAUAUGAAUGAAUCUAUUUGAGAAGACCCAUGUUAAAUAAGAUAAAACAAAUUAUCUAUGUAUCUAUUUAAGCAAAAGCUGUAGAAAUAAGAUAUAAGAAGAAAUACAAAAUUCUCC
This 388-nucleotide long non-coding RNA is filed under the name Homo sapiens (human). RNAcentral's name for it is "HSALNT0185561". The record is from RNAcentral. Lineage: Eukaryota; Metazoa; Chordata; Mammalia; Primates; Hominidae.